Molecule: long non-coding RNA, 600 nt
Organism: Macrobrachium nipponense
Lineage: Eukaryota; Metazoa; Arthropoda; Malacostraca; Decapoda; Palaemonidae
Exons: 2
Source: RefSeq, a predicted model, not a curated record
AAUAAGCUUUACAUUUUAAAAUUAAUGCAGAUUCAGUAUGUAAACGUUUUCAGUUUCAAAUUAAUAGGAACUGCUUAUAGACUUGUACAGAUGAAGGUUUUGCAGCAAUCCAUGAAAAGUCCCAGCCACAAAAACACAAUUUUCCAUAUUCCAUACCUCCUUGUGACAUUCAUGAUGCCAAACAUUACUUUCCAUUCUCAGGGUGACUCAGGUGGACCGCUAGUGACUACAGGCAACACAGCUCAAACAUUCUAUGUCCUGAUUGGAGUGGUCUCCUGGGGUAAUGGUUGCGCCCUUCCAAAUUACCCUGGGGUCUAUUCCCGAGUGCCCAACUAUCUCCCUUGGAUAAAUUCAAACAUAGCAGGUUCUGUAACUUGUCCAAGUCCACCAUGAGAACUGUUAAUGCAUUGGGUGGACCACUGAAGAACUACAGAGCAUGACUGGACAUGAAAGAUUAAUAUCAUUGAUCAUGGAAUUAUUGAUGUGUGCUUUAGACUUUGCUCUGAAAUGAGAAAUAAGAAAUCUGGUUUGAAUAUUUACUUCUCAAAUUAUUGUUCUAACUAUGGUAAAUUAAAUACAGCACUUAAGCAUUCAGAUAAA